GUAAUUUAAUUUACCCAUAUUUGGUUGAAAAAAUAAACAUCAACAAAUCCAGAUUGAUGGCCGCGCCGCGCAGUAAUCAAAAAUUAAAAGUUCUAUUUGUCCAAUCUUUCCUGCAGUCACGGUUGCAAACAAUGUCGUGGUUCGUGAAAUAAGACGAUAAUCAAAGUUCUGACCAGAAGCAGCAAAACAGCCAUUCGCUACUGGCCUCGUCCAUGGCAAAGCAGCUAGCGAAAACGUUCCCGAAGCUCCCGAACGUCCCUCGUUUUGUCUCAUUCCGGAUCAUCCCGUCAUCAAUUUGUCCAAGGAAAACAUAUUGUGUCAUUAUGUACAUUAUGGGCUCGAUUAUGGGUAAAUUGCGUACGAUCCGAUCCGAAGUUUAUCGCCUGAUUACGCUCACUUACUGGUCGCUAAUCCAACAAACCAAUGAUAUACACCAUCGUUUCUUAUCACCUUGGCCAUCGUGAUCGCUUCCUGCCAUCAUAGUGCAAGUGCAAACGAAAAAUCUCGGACGCCGGAGAAAAUGACAGGUUUCAUUCGGACUGUUACUUGCUGGUAUCGGAGUCGAAAUUCGUCAGGCAGGCUUCCGGAUCAUGAAGAACUGGUCAACUCUUGGGUCAACUUCAAAUUUCGCCAGGGAAAACUAGAUGACAUGAAUUAACGAAACGGGCGAAACGUUGAAACAACACGUAAAAAGCACCUGGGGCGGAUCCAAUUUCACCAACGGAAGCACCUGGUACCAUAGGACUUUCGCAUUCUCAUCCGGAUUCCAAAACUACCUUAGCCGUUGCCUAAAAUGGCAUUCAAUCCUGAAGGAUGGGGGACACCUUAUCCCGAAGGAAGGGAAGGUCAUGUAAUUCUGUGCUGUACUGUGCAGAGUACGUCCAUGAAUCUCCAGUAGCAGCGGACCAUCCAGCUAAUCCCUGUAGGCAUGUUUAGGCCCUCGGUCGCAUAUGAUCCAGAGCAACAAAGGCGGUACAAUUAUGCUCGCAAUUAUGGUACUCAACCAGGAGCGGCUUCUACUGUUCACGUUUCCGAGGGGAACCCGAUUAUUUUUAAUUAGCCGCCAAUGAAUUUUCAGAUUACUUAUUAAUACUAUUUUAACAAAAUCGGAUGAUUUGUUUUUUUUUUAAUAGAAAUAUAGAAUCUGUAUA
Long non-coding RNA from Armigeres subalbatus, 1151 nucleotides. RefSeq lists it as uncharacterized. NCBI's taxonomy places the organism in Eukaryota, Metazoa, Arthropoda, Insecta, Diptera, Culicidae. The record is from RefSeq and is a predicted model, not a curated record. The transcript has 4 exons.